RNAcentral lists this non-coding RNA (72 nucleotides) under unclassified sequences. RNAcentral's name for it is "L4-Archaeoglobi ribosomal protein leader". It matches the Rfam family "L4-Archaeoglobi ribosomal protein leades". The record is from RNAcentral.
CUGAUUGACGCGCCGGGCCAACGCACCGUCGAGCCCAUUUCCCGGCAGUCCGGGAAGCGCGCUUAGGGUCAG